RNAcentral lists this ribosomal RNA (460 nucleotides) under uncultured bacterium. RNAcentral's name for it is "partial 16S ribosomal RNA". It matches the Rfam family "Bacterial small subunit ribosomal RNA", at positions 338 to 795 of the family's 1533-position model. The record is from RNAcentral.
CCUACGGGUGGCAGCAGUGAGGAAUAUUGGUCAAUGGGCUUACGCCUGAACCAGCCAAGUCGCGUGAGGGAAGACUGCCCUAUGGGUUGUAAACCUCUUUUGUCGGGGAGCAAGUGGCGCUACGUGUAGCCUUAUCGAUAGUCCCUGCAGACAGAGCAUCGACUAACGCCGUCCCAGCAGCCACGGUAAUACGGAGGAUGCGAGCGGGAUCCGGAUUGAUUGGGUUAAAGGGGUGCGUAGGCGGCAUGCCAAGUCAGCGGUAAAACCGCGGGGCUAAACCUGGAUCCGCCGUUGAAACUGGCGGGCUUGAGUGGGCGAGAAGUAUGCGGAAUGCGUGGUGUAGCGGUGAAAUGCAUAGAUAUCAGGCAGAACGCCGAUGGCGAAGGCAGCACACCGGAGACAAACUGACGCUGAAGCACGAAAGCGUGGGUAUCGAACAGGAUUAGAUACCCGUGUAGUC